This 759-nucleotide ribosomal RNA is filed under the name uncultured Neisseriaceae bacterium. Its description in RNAcentral is "bacterial SSU rRNA". It matches the Rfam family "Bacterial small subunit ribosomal RNA", at positions 28 to 776 of the family's 1533-position model. Lineage: Bacteria; Pseudomonadati; Pseudomonadota; Betaproteobacteria; Neisseriales; Neisseriaceae. The record is from RNAcentral.
AUUGAACGCUGGCGGCAUGCUUUACACAUGCAAGUCGAACGGCAGCGGGGUAGUGCUUGCACUACUGCCGGCGAGUGGCGAACGGGUGAGUAAUAUAUUGGAACGUACCGAGUAAUGGGGGAUAACCAAUCGAAAGAUUGGCUAAUACCGCAUACGCUCUGAGGAGGAAAGCAGGGGACCUUCGGGCCUUGCGUUAUUCGAGCGGCCAAUAUCUGAUUAGCUAGUUGGUGGGGUAAAGGCCUACCAAGGCGACGAUCAGUAGCGGGUCUGAGAGGAUGAUCCGCCACACUGGGACUGAGACACGGCCCAGACUCCUACGGGAGGCAGCAGUGGGGAAUUUUGGACAAUGGGCGCGAGCCUGAUCCAGCCAUGCCGCGUGUCUGAAGAAGGCCUUCGGGUUGUAAAGGACUUUUGUUAGGGAAGAAAAAGGAGCGGUUAAUACCCGUUUCUGCUGACGGUACCUAAAGAAUAAGCACCGGCUAACUACGUGCCAGCAGCCGCGGUAAUACGUAGGGUGCGAGCGUUAAUCGGAAUUACUGGGCGUAAAGCGAGCGCAGACGGUUACUUAAGCAGGAUGUGAAAUCCCCGGGCUCAACCUGGGAACUGCGUUCUGAACUGGGUAGCUAGAGUAUGUCAGAGGGGGGUAGAAUUCCACGUGUAGCAGUGAAAUGCGUAGAGAUGUGGAGGAAUACCGAUGGCGAAGGCAGCCCCCUGGGAUAAUACUGACGUUCAUGCUCGAAAGCGUGGGUAGCAAACAGG